This 497-nucleotide ribosomal RNA is filed under the name uncultured bacterium. RNAcentral describes it as "partial 16S ribosomal RNA". It matches the Rfam family "Bacterial small subunit ribosomal RNA", at positions 28 to 507 of the family's 1533-position model. The record is from RNAcentral.
GAUGAACGCUGGCGGCGUGCCUAAUACAUGCAAGUCGAGCGAACAGAUAAGGAGCUUGCUCCUUUGACGUUAGCGGCGGACGGGUGAGUAACACGUGGGUAACCUACCUAUAAGACUGGGAUAACUUCGGGAAACCGGAGCUAAUACCGGAUAAUAUUUCGAACCGCAUGGUUCGAUAGUGAAAGAUGGUUUUGCUGUCACUUUUAGAUGGACCCGCGCCGUAUUAGCUAGUUGGUAAGGUAACGGCUUACCAAGGCGACGAUACGUAGCCGACCUGAGAGGGUGAUCGGCCACACUGGAACUGAGACACGGUCCAGACUCCUACGGGAGGCAGCAGUAGGGAAUCUUCCGCAAUGGGCGAAAGCCUGACGGAGCAACGCCGCGUGAGUGAUGAAGGUCUUCGGAUCGUAAAACUCUGUUAUUAGGGAAGAACAUACGUGUAAGUAACUGUGCACGUCUUGACGGUACCUAAUCAGAAAGCCACGGCUAACUACGUG